Molecule: long non-coding RNA, 237 nt
Filed under: Pandoravirus salinus
Description: putative ncRNA
Source: RNAcentral
GUCGAUCACCUGGUCGAUCUCGUCGAUCGGACGCUUGUUGGGUCGCGCGCGCUCUUGCGCACCGACGCCUGUCGCAAGCAAAGCCGACGUCGAGUUGCUGCUGGCGUUGUUGCCGUUGUUUGCGUCUGUGGUCUCCAUCGGUGUCGCUGUUGUGGUGGUUGCUGUGCGCCUGUGGUUGUGUCGCUGGCGGCGUGUGCGUGUAUGCUGCGGACCGACACGAGCGCGGGCGGGAUGCAC